This 301-nucleotide ribosomal RNA is filed under the name uncultured bacterium. RNAcentral describes it as "partial 16S ribosomal RNA". It matches the Rfam family "Bacterial small subunit ribosomal RNA", at positions 509 to 808 of the family's 1533-position model. The record is from RNAcentral.
CAGCCGCCGCGGUAAUACGUAGGUGGCAAGCGUUGUCCGGAAUUAUUGGGCGUAAAGCGCGUCUAGGUGGUUAUGUAAGUCUGAUGUGAAAAUGCAGGGCUCAACUCUGUAUUGCGUUGGAAACUGUGUAACUAGAGUACUGGAGAGGUAAGCGGAACUACAAGUGUAGAGGUGAAAUUCGUAGAUAUUUGUAGGAAUGCCGAUGGGGAAGCCAGCUUACUGGACAGAUACUGACGCUGAAGCGCGAAAGCGUGGGUAGCAAACAGGAUUAGAUACCCCGGUAGUCCCUGUCUCUUAUACA